GUUCGGCGGGGGGGUGGACCGAGGGGGGGGAGGCGCCUCUCCUUCCACGCCCGCGGCCCAACGGGUCACGGCCGGGGUCGGCGAGAGAGGCGGCGAAGGCCGGGACGCUCCCGGAGCCUCAGUCGCCCCGUCUCCGAAACGGGGACCGAGGGCGUAUCUAGCCCCGGAAAGCCUUCCUCCUCGGGAUCCGGGACGCUUGCCCGGCGCCCGGUCCCGGCUCCCCUCCCCGCCCGCGAGGGGUCUCGGCCGCGGAGGCGACGGGCGAGAGGACCCGGGCGGACCCCCCCGCCCCGAGGGGAAGGAGGCUCGCCGAAGGGUUAGGCGGCGGGGCGGGUGGUUGUCCCCGGCCCAAGGCCCCUCCUCCGUCGCAGCGGACGAAGGCGGUGUCCACGGAGCGGACUGGUGCUUCCGGCCACCGAGGAGGGGGGGCUGCGCCCUGCCGCUCGCCCACAGGAUCACCAAGCAGAUCUGCUGCUGCAGCCGCGUGGGCAAGGGCGGGGGGCGGGCUGCCACAGGUGCCCCCCGCCCGACUCAGGUAACCACCCCCGCCCCCCGCCCCCCGCCCCGGCCGGCCGGCCAGCCGCAGAGGGCCCGGGAGUCGGAAGGCCCCGGGUUCUCCUCCCGGCUCCGCCGCUCGUCGGGCCGGGUGACCCGGGGCCGGUCACCUCCCUGCCCUGGGCCUCGACCCCCUCAUCUGUCAAGCGGAGAGACCGUGAGCCCCACGAGGGACGGGGACCGCCCCCCACCUCAUCGGUCCGUACCUUACCCCAGCGCUCGGCACACGCUACGCGCUUGGCGGACCCCGUCACGGUGAUUACCGUGCACCCCGGUGCUUGGCAGAGAGCCCGGCACGUUAGCAAGCCGCUUAACAGAUACCGGCACGAUGACGGUCGUCCACCCCGCUGCUCAGUGCAGAGCCCGGCACGUAGUAAGCGCUUAACGGGUGCCACGGAGAAGCCCCCUUUUUACCCCACGGCAUUCCCGCGCUCCCCAGAGGGUGGACGUCCUGGCCUCUGGCGCAUCCCGGGGGUCUCGGGGCUCUCGGCGCCCCCGCGGAGGAGCCCGGCGGGGGCUUCUUCUCCCCGGCCCCCCCCAACGCCCCCUUCCUACGUGGCGGAUCCCGGGCCGUCGCCUCCGAAGGCCGCCGGCUGCCCCACGUCCCCCCGAUUCCGACCUCCUCUCCCUCCGCUUCCUCCGUGGGGCGUUUCUGUCCUCCCGCUCUAGUGGAGACCGGCUUCCCCCCGCCGCCCUCAGGGACCGCCUCCGGUCCGGCGAACCCCCGAGGCCCAAGCCCUGCCCCGCUCUCGCCCCACCGCGGGCCCCCGGGCGCCUCGGCUCGACCUCGCCCCUGUCUCCAGCGGACUUCAGGGAGAUCUGCCCGGCCGGCCCCGGCUACACCUACUCCGGCACGGACAUUCGGCUGGCCCUGAGGAGAACCGGAGAGGAGGAGCAGAAGGAGGAGGAGGAGGAGAAGAAGAAGGAGGAGGAGGAGGGCGAGAGUCUUCUGCCGCCGGAGACCACGGCCUCCGUCGAGGACACGCAAGGCGAGCCGGGAAGCCGUCGAGGUGAGCGUCUCCCCUACCGGGUGCGGCCCGGCUCUCUUAAAGACGCGGGCCCCGCCGUCUCUCUGUGGAGGUCCGGCAGAGGACCGGGAGUUGCCCCGUCACCGAAGCGGGGCCCUCGGGCUCCGGACCCCGGGGCUCGAUCGGUCACUGGCGACAACCGUCACGGCGGUUAUCCGUUCGGGUCCCGCGACUGGCCGCCGAGCACCGUUCUGACAACCCGGGGUAGAUCCGAGGGCGUCGGGUCGUCCCACGCGGGCUCGAGCGGGCUUGCCCGAGGUCACAACGUG
Molecule: long non-coding RNA, 1852 nt
Filed under: Ornithorhynchus anatinus (platypus)
Lineage: Eukaryota; Metazoa; Chordata; Mammalia; Monotremata; Ornithorhynchidae
Description: lncRNA (ENSOANG00000041219.1)
Source: RNAcentral